This 424-nucleotide ribosomal RNA is filed under the name uncultured prokaryote. RNAcentral describes it as "bacterial SSU rRNA". It matches the Rfam family "Bacterial small subunit ribosomal RNA", at positions 355 to 774 of the family's 1533-position model. The record is from RNAcentral.
UUAAGAAUCUUGCGCAAUGGGCGCAAUCCUGACGCAGCGACGCCGCGUGAAUGAUGAAGGCCUUCGGGUUGUAAAGUUCGAUAAGCAGGGAAGAAUAAGCGUGGGGUAAUAUUCAAUGUGAUGACGGUACCUGCCUAAAGCCCCGGCUAACUACGUGCCAGCAGCCGCGGUAAUCCGUAUGGGGCGAGCGUUGUUCGGAAUUAUUGGGCGUAAAGGGCGCCUAGGCGGGGGACUAAGUUAGUUGUGAAAGCUAUGGGCUCAACCCAUAAAUUGCAUCUAAGACUGGUUCUCUUGAGUUCGGGAGAGGAGAGCGGAAUUCCAGGUGUAGCGGUGAAAUGCGUAGAUAUCUGGAAGAACACCAGUGGCGAAGGCGGCUCUCUGGCCUAGGACUGACGCUGAAGCGCGAAAGCGUGGGGAGCGAACA